AUGUUUACUGUGGGCUUAGACGUUGAUACGCGUGCCUACUUCACCGCAGCUACCAUGAUCAUAGUUGUGCCGACAGGAAUCAAAAUCUUUAGUUGGAUCGCUACCAUGUGGGGAGGUUCGAUACAAUACAAAACACCCAUGUUAUUUGUUGUAGGGUUCAUCUUUUUGUUCACCAUAGGAGGGCUCACUGGAAUAGUUCUAGCAAACUCUGGGCUAGACAUUGCUCUACAUGAUACUUAUUAUGUGGUUGCACAUUUCCAUUAUGUACUUUCUAUGGGAGCCGUUUUUGCUUUAUUGCUGGAUUUUACUAUUGGGUGGGUAAAAUCUUUGGUCGGACAUAUCCUGAAACUUUAG
Molecule: ribosomal RNA, 354 nt
Filed under: Triticum aestivum (bread wheat)
Lineage: Eukaryota; Viridiplantae; Streptophyta; Magnoliopsida; Poales; Poaceae
Description: partial small subunit ribosomal RNA
Source: RNAcentral